This 235-nucleotide ribosomal RNA is filed under the name uncultured bacterium. Its description in RNAcentral is "partial 16S ribosomal RNA". It matches the Rfam family "Bacterial small subunit ribosomal RNA", at positions 524 to 758 of the family's 1533-position model. The record is from RNAcentral.
UACGUAGGGGGCAAGCGUUGUCCGGAUUUAUUGGGCGUAAAGCGCUCGCAGGUGGUCCGCUGCGUCGUGCGUGAAAGACCCCGGCUCAACUGGGGAGUGUCGUGCGAUACGGGCGGACUGGAGGCCAGUAGGGGGAUGCGGAAUUCCGGGUGUAGUGGUGGAAUGCGUAGAGAUCCGGAGGAACACCAGCGGCGAAGGCGGCAUCCUGGACUGGUCCUGACACUCAGGAGCGAAA